This 252-nucleotide ribosomal RNA is filed under the name uncultured bacterium. Its description in RNAcentral is "partial 16S ribosomal RNA". It matches the Rfam family "Bacterial small subunit ribosomal RNA", at positions 524 to 776 of the family's 1533-position model. The record is from RNAcentral.
UACGAAGGGUGCAAACGUUGCUCGGAAUUAUUGGGCGUAAAGCGCACGUAGGCGGCAUUGCAAGUCGGAUGUGAAAUCCCUCGGCUUAACCAAGGAAGUGCAUCCGAAACUGCAGUGCUUGAGUACUUAAGAGGAUCGCGGAAUUCCCGGUGUAGAGGUGAAAUUCGUAGAUAUCGAGAGGAACACCGGUGGCGAAGGCGGCCUUCUGGACAGUGACUGACGCUGAGACGCGAAAGCGUGGGAGCAAACAGG